GAAAAGUGCGCAUUAGCAAAUACGUUUUACUACUUUCACAUUCUUAAAUUAGUAUCACCGCCUAGAAAAAUACAAACCUAAUGGUAGUUUAAAAAGACAGCCAGAAUGUAGCACGUGGGUUUCAGGGAAUUUGUAAAAAGCAUCAGAAUGCUCCUGGCCUACUGGACAUCAAAACGCGUUUACCAAUUUUCUCAGGAAAUGAUUUUAUUCAUAAGCGUUUCAAAGGUAAACUUCAAUGCAGCAGGAUCAAAAAAACAACAAUUACUGAAUCAGUGUGGGUGUAAUCAAAACCUUAUGUCUUUUAUUUUCUGACUGCUACAAUAAGCAGUGUACACUCAGCUGUCACUUCCUGAGGAUAACAGGUAUCUAAAUUACAACUUGCUCCAUUUGUUUCUGACCUAGGAAACCACAGGCUGUUGUGACACCUAUUUCGGUGUC
Molecule: long non-coding RNA, 438 nt
Filed under: Bos taurus (domestic cattle)
Lineage: Eukaryota; Metazoa; Chordata; Mammalia; Artiodactyla; Bovidae
Description: long non-coding RNA NONBTAT014944
Source: RNAcentral